AUUGAACGCUGGCGGCAUGCUUUACACAUGCAAGUCGAACGGUAACAGGGUGCUUGCACCGCUGACGAGUGGCGAACGGGUGAGUAAUGCGUCGGAACGUGCCGAGUAGUGGGGGAUAACGCAGCGAAAGUUGUGCUAAUACCGCAUACGUACUGAGGUAGAAAGUGGGGGACCUUCGGGCCUCACGCUAUUCGAGCGGCCGACGUCUGAUUAGCUAGUAGGUGAGGUAAAGGCUCACCUAGGCGACGAUCAGUAGCGGGUCUGAGAGGAUGAUCCGCCACACGGGGACUGAGACACGGCCCAGACUCCUACGGGAGGCAGCAGUGGGGAAUUUUGGACAGUGGGCGAAAGCCUGAUUCAGCCAUGCCGCGUGUCUGAAGAAGGCCUUCGGGUUGUAAAGGACUUUUGUCAGGGAGGAAAUCCCUAGUGCUAAUAACACUGGGGGAUGACAGUACCUGAAGAAUAAGCACCGGCUAACUACGUGCCAGCCGCCGCCGUAA
RNAcentral lists this ribosomal RNA (500 nucleotides) under uncultured bacterium. Its description in RNAcentral is "partial 16S ribosomal RNA". It matches the Rfam family "Bacterial small subunit ribosomal RNA", at positions 30 to 523 of the family's 1533-position model. The record is from RNAcentral.